RNAcentral lists this ribosomal RNA (209 nucleotides) under uncultured eukaryote. Its description in RNAcentral is "partial 18S ribosomal RNA". It matches the Rfam family "Eukaryotic small subunit ribosomal RNA", at positions 604 to 819 of the family's 1831-position model. The record is from RNAcentral.
UUAAAGUUGUUGCAGUUAAAAAGCUCGUAGUUGAACCUUGGGCCUGGUUGGCCGGUCCGCCUCACCGCGUGCACUGGUCCGACCGGGUCUUUCCUUCUGGGGAGCCGCAUGCCCUUCACUGGGUGUGUCGGGGAACCAGGACUUUUACUUUGAAAAAAUUAGAGUGUUCAAAGCAGGCCUAUGCUCGAAUACAUUAGCAUGGAAUAAUA